UCUGAAUCUGCGAACGGCUCCGCAAACCAGUUGUAAACUAUAGCAAACACGCCUUCGUGGGGGGUCGCAAGGCCUUUCGCGUUGGUUAUAAGGAUAACCCUGGUAAUUCUGAGGCUAAUACUUGCUCGCAUAACCUGGCCGCCGUUCAUUCGGUGGUUGGGGACCGUGUGGGUUAACGUAAUAUGAUGGGAGUGAACGCACGGUACGACCGCCAUACCAAACUGUCUGAAAGAAGCCGACCUAACGGGAGGCGGGCGUCAUGUCGGGGCGGCUUUUGCUGUGUGCUUCUGACCUAUCAACUAGAUGGCAGCGUAAAGGACAUGCUAUGGU
Molecule: ribosomal RNA, 330 nt
Filed under: Physarum notabile
Lineage: Eukaryota; Evosea; Eumycetozoa; Physariida; Physaraceae
Description: bacterial SSU rRNA
Rfam family: Eukaryotic small subunit ribosomal RNA
Source: RNAcentral